Molecule: ribosomal RNA, 253 nt
Filed under: uncultured bacterium
Lineage: Bacteria
Description: partial 16S ribosomal RNA
Rfam family: Bacterial small subunit ribosomal RNA
Source: RNAcentral
UACGUAGGGUCCGAGCGUUGUCCGGAAUUACUGGGCGUAAAGAGCGCGUAGGCGGUUUGUCGCGUCGGGAGUGAAAACGCCGUGCUUAACACGGCGCUUGCUUUCGAUACGGGCAGACUAGAGGUAUGCAGGGGAGAACGGAAUUCCUGGUGUAGCGGUGAAAUGCGCAGAUAUCAGGAGGAACACCGGUGGCGAAGGCGGUUCUCUGGGCAUUACCUGACGCUGAGGAGCGAAAGUGUGGGGAGCGAACAGG